Molecule: small nucleolar RNA, 64 nt
Filed under: Seriola lalandi dorsalis
Lineage: Eukaryota; Metazoa; Chordata; Actinopteri; Carangiformes; Carangidae
Description: Small nucleolar RNA SNORA73 family (ENSSLDG00000000427.1)
Source: RNAcentral
CUGCAUAUUCCUACAUCUUCCCAGAGUCCUUUUGGGGCCGUGACUGGGGAGCUAAACCAUGCAG